Molecule: long non-coding RNA, 238 nt
Filed under: Elaeis guineensis (African oil palm)
Lineage: Eukaryota; Viridiplantae; Streptophyta; Magnoliopsida; Arecales; Arecaceae
Description: long non-coding RNA (EGUI_LNC023312)
Source: RNAcentral
CAUUGUAACUGAGCCGACUCAUCUGGACUGAGUCGAUCUAUCUAGAAACUAGAUCGACUCAAUUACUGUGCCAUGUCAGAGAAACUGAUACACUGCUCUCUGUCUAGCUAUUCUCGCAGACUUAGUCGACCCACUUUCGCUUCGUCGACCCAGUCUAAGAUCUACAAAUUUUUUAUAUUCAAUUUUUUCUAAUUCUUAUGCUUUUUGCCGAUUGUAGUUUUACCAUAACAACUUAUUU